AGAAAUGUGAGGAAAGUCCGUGCAUUCAAGGACAGGCCGCCGGAGAAAGUCCGGACGGUGUGAACCGGUGGAAAGGACCACAGAAAUGCAGACGUGAACCGUUGUGAGCGCAAGCGAACAGUCAUUAAUUUGGCAGACGGAGUCACGCAAGACUGCCGAUGGAUUUGAAAAAAUCACAGGCGAUGGUGCAACGGUGAGUUAAGAGCAUCACCAGCAAUACCGGAAGGUAUUGGCUAGGCAACCCCCGGCCGAAUGCAAGAUAGACACGAAGGUUAUAAAGGCUGUCCGCCCACUUCGGAAAUAUCGCUAGAGUUUGCGGGUAACCGCAAUCCCAGACAGAUGAUUAUCUAGAAACAGAACACGGCUUAUGAACUGCUUU
Molecule: RNase P RNA, 379 nt
Filed under: chicken gut metagenome
Description: Bacterial RNase P class A
Rfam family: Bacterial RNase P class A
About the family: Ribonuclease P (RNase P) is a ubiquitous endoribonuclease, found in archaea, bacteria and eukarya as well as chloroplasts and mitochondria.
Source: RNAcentral